AUGGACAGGUGCUUCACUGACAGGAAGAACUUGCUCAUGGACCGCAGGACCAUGGCUCCCAAGAUCGAUGACCUCAAAUUCUUACUCGAGGUACCGACCCUGAGGUCCUUCUUGGUGCCACAUGUGGUUGGUGGGCUGCAUUUUUUAAGUUGGUAUGAUGAACUGGACUUUGUAAAUGAGCACAUAUAUACACUGAAUCCUGGUAAAUGGCAGCUGAAUUUCAAGCACUACAUUAGUGAUUGGGGCAAUGGUCAGACCUGCUUGCAUGAAAAAAAGGGCAAUUUGGAUGUGCUUGCAGGAGCUCAGAACUCACCUAUUGAUGACUCACCUUGGAAACUGCACUACAUUAGUGAUUGGGGCAAUGGUCAGACCUGCUUGCAUGAAAAAAAGGGCAAUUUGGAUGUGCUUGCAGGAGCUCAGAACUCACCUAUUGAUGACUCACCUUGGAAACUGGCUGACAAGGCGACAGAUGCGGGGCCUUCUUCAAUUUCAAGUCACACAUGCCAUCGUCGUCCAGGUCAGUGGUGCCCCGUGCCCAUCGACGACAUCAUGCAGCUGUUCGCCAACGCCUGGAUGAAUCACUUCAAGACAUUAUUCCUUGACCAUAAUGUAGUGCCGCCCUGGACUAGUAGCUUGUCGCCUACACCUCAAUACAAUACCCAGAAGUGCAUCCGCGCCGGUAGCAAGCACAACGACCUCGACGCCAUGGGAAACGGUGAGGGAUUUAGUAUAGAAAGCUACUUUACAAGUAGUCUCAAGCUGGAGGAUAACAGAUUGGUCGCGACGUUAGGGAUCUCCAUCAAUGUUAUACUAUUUGUCUCCAGAAGUCCCUGGAUGAACUUACUACAAUCUUUAUUGUCAGGACACAUUGGUACUGAGCUUUCUUGCAAAGUUAAAUCUAUUAGCUUACUGGUUGUGGUGAAUGUAUAUGGAACAAUGAUUGCACAUAUUAUAUCUGAAAAUAUGAUAAUGAUGCCGAGAGAAGAGAGCAUGCGUACGAUCCAUGAACUUGAUGUGCGAGAUGGUAUGACUUCUUCAGAGAACCAUCUUGAUCCUUCCUUUUUCUUCAUAAUAUUGCCAACCAUUGAGAUUGUGGUGCGGGAGGUCGCGGGUGCUAAAGAUUGUGGCACGGUUUAG
Molecule: ribosomal RNA, 1137 nt
Filed under: Triticum aestivum (bread wheat)
Lineage: Eukaryota; Viridiplantae; Streptophyta; Magnoliopsida; Poales; Poaceae
Description: partial small subunit ribosomal RNA
Source: RNAcentral